Molecule: ribosomal RNA, 253 nt
Filed under: uncultured bacterium
Lineage: Bacteria
Description: partial 16S ribosomal RNA
Rfam family: Bacterial small subunit ribosomal RNA
Source: RNAcentral
UACGGAGGGGGCUAGCGUUGCUCGGAAUUACUGGGCGUAAAGCGCACGUAGGCGGCUUUGUAAGUCAGAGGUGAAAUCCCGGGGCUCAACCCCGGAACUGCCUUUGAGACUGCAUCGCUUGAAUCCAGGAGAGGUGAGUGGAAUUCCGAGUGUAGAGGUGAAAUUCGUAGAUAUUCGGAAGAACACCAGUGGCGAAGGCGGCUCACUGGACUGGUAUUGACGCUGAGGUGCGAAAGCGUGGGGAGCAAACAGG